Anolis carolinensis (green anole) is the source of this 9070-nucleotide RNA transcript. RefSeq lists it as uncharacterized. The transcript is spliced from 4 exons. The record is from RefSeq and is a predicted model, not a curated record. NCBI's taxonomy places the organism in Eukaryota, Metazoa, Chordata, Lepidosauria, Squamata, Anolidae.
CUCAGACAAUCUCGGGACGCCGAGAGAGAAGGCAGCUUGGCUUGGGAGCCAUUCUGAAGCCCUGGGUCGGAAGAAAGGAAGGAAGGAAGGAAGGAAGAAAGAAAGAAAGGGCAGCCGCGGCUAGAAGGCCCGAAGAGACAGGCUCCGUUUCUGAAGCAGAAAUGGCAAAGCCUUGUGAAACGGACGGAAGAAAUAAAGGCAAAAUUUUUGAAAAUUUCCACAGCUUUUUCUGAAGGGACCAGCGCUGAUUUCAAGUCAACGUGAAGAAAGAAACAAAAGGUCGAGAGACAGGACGGAAGAUGCUUGAAGACACCCUCGCAAGGACACUGCCUGCCUCCCAAAAAAGGUCGUUUUCAGGGUAAUUGGUGUAAGGGUAGGCAUUUAAUGUCUAUCUUUGCAUUAAAGAAAGGGUUACCUUUGCACACGGUUCCCCUCGCGUGUGGCAUCGAAGAAGUCCCACUCGGGAACGGACGGGUCCUCCCUUUGUUCUAGGCAGAUGAUGGGUCUUCCUAUACGGGCCGUAGGGGUCACAGCUUGGGGGUCAGCGGGGGGCCCCGCCCUGGCAUCGCGGGGGGCAGCACACGUUACGGGCAUUUUAAGAUGUCCUUGCAACUUAGAAAUAAAAAUAUUAAUACCUUAACUCACUUACUAACAUCCUACUAACACCAUUCUAAACAGGGUACCCUGGCCUUUUAAAUAGGACUGUUCUGCCUGAUGGCAAGAACCAAGCUGGGAAGGGAGGGGGCCUCCUGGCCCCCCAUAAAAGGGCCCCCAUGGAAGGACAUUGCAAAAGGCCCCUAAGGUGUCCUGAGAGCAGCCUCUUGGUCCUCAGUGUUCCCCACGGUGCCAGGGCUGGGCCCCUCGCUCUCCCCCAACCCAUGGACCCUGCCGCUUGUAUAUCAUCCGUCCAGGGCCAACGGACGCCCCCUCCCUCCCCGGGCGGAGCUUCGAGGCCACACUCAAGGGGAGACCAGAGCCGUGUGCCUCAUGCCAACGCCUAGCACGUGGCAAACCUUUUUUUUUACUGCAAACAUAGGCAUCAUGAUUGAUUUUUGUUAAUUCCUUUUAAAUUUAAUUGUUUGUAUUUGAUAGCAUGGUAGGCUGGUUUUAUAUCAGUGAGCCGCCCCGAGUCCCUCUGGGGAGACGGUGGCAGGGUACAAAAAUAAAAUUAUUAUUAUUAUUAUUGAUUCGAGGCACCUGGAAAAAGAAAUACCAGGAAGCAGAUAAAAUUAUUAUUAUUAUUAUUAUUGAUUCGAGGCACCUGGAAAAAAAAAUACCAGGAAGCAGAUAAAAUUAUUAUUAUUAUUAUUAUUAUUGAUUCGAGGCACCUGGAAAAAGAAAUACCAGGAAGCAGAUAAAAUUAUUAUUAUUAUUAUUGAUUACAGGCACCUGGAAAAAGAAAUACCAGGAAGCAGAUAAAAUUAUUAUUAUUGUUAUUGUUGUUGUUAUUAUGUAGGACCCCAUUUUAUUUAUGUAAGGCCACACACCCAGGGGACCACUAUUCCUAAUUAAAGCCUGGUUAAAGGGGAUCCUCUAUUCUUAAAGUUAGGUGUAUAGAGAUCUCCUGUCCAGAAACUAACGCGGCCUGCCCUAUAGAGAUCUGUUAAACCAAGGCGGCCUGCCCUAUAGAGAUCUCCUAUUUCACGUAACACCAGGCAAUAUGGAGAUCCCUGUUUUUUUUAACCGUUAAAUCCCUUACGUGGGGAUAUCCCUGGUUAUUUUAACUGUUAAAUCCCUUACGUGGAGAUAUCCCUGGUUAUUUUAACUGUUAAGUCCCUUACGUGGGGAAAUCCCUGGUUAUUUUAACCGUUAAAUCCCUUACGUGGGGAGAUCCCUGGUUAUUUUAACCUUUAAGUCCCUUACGUGGGGAGAUCCCUGGUUAUUUUAACCUUUAAGGCCAGAUGUGGGGAUUUCCUUGCUUCUUUUAACCCGUAAGGCCAGCCAUGGGGAGAUAUCUUAGGCUGUUUUCACGAAAAGUCAGGUAUAGACGCACUGUUUUCUCUCCCGUUCCAUGUGCCUGGACUCCCGGAGGGCUCCUGCCGGACACCGUCUCCCAUCGGCCGAGAGGGAUCCUUCCUGUCUGGGAAGGAUCUGCAACACAGGUAAAAAGAAGAUUCCGGGAAGGAGAUUCUACAGCGGAGCCCUUAAGCCAGGUGAGACACUCCUUCCAGCCUCCACGGCUGCCUUGCACACACACACACACACACAUGAUACACACGACACACACAUGAUACACACGACACACAUACACAUGUACAGCUGAGGCCCACGGGGACUCUUCCCCAAUAGAUCGAGGACUCCCACUCCGGCGAUUGGCCAUUGUAAAUGCCUUGAAGCAGUUUGGGGCUUCCGGCCAAGUGCUUGCAAAGAGAAUCCAUUCAAGGUUGGACCCCCUUUUAAAGGGCCUGGCACGUGGUAUUUAUUCCCGGCAUGUGGAAAACUCCAUUUGUAAGGCAAACCCUCAUUAAAGGAGGUUUGCAAUUAGUUUAAAACCAGGCUUCUGAGGGACCCGCUGCGUUUAAAGCCAAACCUAGCAGGUGGGAACCCCUUUGGUUAACGUAAGGCGAGGGACCCUCCAUAUUUAAUAAGAUGCCUGGCAGAAUCUUAACCUAAAUGCAGGCCUAUGGGCUACAGCCUAUUCUGCAUAGCCAGGCAUGGGGGGACCCCAGAUUAUUAACUUGAAGCCUAGGAAAAGGAGAUUUUUGUAUUUAUUUAUUUAUUUAUUACAAUAUUUAUAUCCCGCCCUCUCUCCCCUUAAAAGGGGACUCAGAGCGGCUUACAAGUGAUAUUUACAUAUUUAUUUAUUACAAUAUUUAUAUCCCGCCCUCUCCCCUUAAAAGGGGACUCAGAGCGGCUUACAAGUGAUAUUUACAUAUUUAUUUAUUACAAUAUUUAUAUCCCGCCCUCUCCUUAAAAGGGGACUCAGAGCGGCUUACAAGUGAUAUUUACAUAUUUAUUUAUUACAAUAUUUAUAUCCCACCCUCUCCCCUUAAAAGGGGACUCAGAGCGGCUUACAAGUGAUAUUUACAUAUUUAUUUAUUACAAUAUUUAUAUCCCGCCCUUCUCACCCAACAGGGGACUCAGGGCGGCUCAACAAUAAGACGCAUAUAUAAAAAACCAUACAGUGCAAUAUAAAUCAUCACUAACUUACAUCAGUAUUCAUAAAACACAUUAUAAAAUACAGAUAGGUGUGUUCAGUUUAAAUCUAUUCAAGGUAUACGUGGACCCCCUUUUAAUGCCAACCUUUCCACGUGGAAAACGAAACCCUCGUUAAAGGAGGUUUGCAAUUAAUUUAAAACCAGGCUUCUGAGGGACCCGCUGCGUUUAAAGCCAAACCUAGCAGGUGGGAACCCCUUUGGUUAACGCAAGGUGAGGGACCCUCUAUUUUUAAUAGGAUGCCUGGGAGAAUCUUAACCUAAAUGCAGGCCUAUUCUGCAUAGCCAGGCAUGGGGGGACCCCAUAUGAUUAAUUUUAAGCCUGGUAAAAGGAGAUUUUUGUAUUUAUUAAUUUAUUACAUUUAUAUCCCGCCCUCUCUCCCCUUAAAGGGGACUCAGGGCAGCUUACAAGUUAUAUUUACAUAUUUAUUUAUUUAUUACAAUAUUUAUAUCCCGCCCUCUCUCCCCUUAAAGGGGACUCAGGGCAGCUUACAAGUUAUAUUUACAUAUUUAUUUAUUUACAAUAUUUAUAUCCCGCCCUCUCCCCUUAAAGGGGACUCAGGGCAGCUUAAAAAUAAAACGCAUAUAUAAAAACCAUACAGUGCAAUAUAAAUCAUCAUUAACUUACAUCAGUAUUCAUAAAACACAUUAUAAAAUACAGAUAGGUGUGUUCAGUUCAAAUCCAUUCAAGGUAUACGUGGACCCCCUUUUAAUGCCAACCUUUCCACGUGGAAAACUAUUUGUAAGGCAAACCCUCGUUAAAGGAGGUUUGCAAUUAAUUUAAAACCAGGCUUCUGAGGGACCCGCUGCGUUUAAAGCCAAACCUAGCAGGUGGGAACCGCUUUGGUUAACGUAAGGCGAGGGACCCUCCAUAUUUAAUAAGAUGCCUGGCAGAAUCUUAACCUAAAUGCAGGCCUAUGGGCUACAGCCUAUUCUGCAUAGCCAGGCAUGGGGGGACCCCAGAUUAUUAACUUGAGGCCUGGGAAAAGGAGAUUUUUGUAUUUAUUUAUUACAAUAUUUAUAUCCCGCCCUCUCUCCCCUUAAAAGGGGACUCAGAGCAGCUUACGUUAUAUUUACAUAUUUAUUUAUUACAAUAUUUAUAUCCCGACCUCUCCCCUUAAAAGGGGACUCAGAGUGGCUUACAAGUUAUAUUUACAUAUUUAUUACAAUAUUUAUAUCCCGCCCUCUCUCCCCUUAAAAGGGGACUCAGAGCGGCUUACAAGUGAUAUUUACAUAUUUAUUUAUUACAAUAUUUAUAUCCCGCCCUCUCUCCCCUUAAAAGGGAGGGGACUCAGCGGCUUACAAGUGAUAUUUACAUAUUUAUUUAUUACAAUAUUUAUAUCCCUCCCUCUCUCUCCUUAAAAGGGGACUCAGAGUGGCUUACAAGUUAUAUUUACAUAUUUAUUUAUUACAAUAUUUAUAUCCCGCCCUUCUCACCCAACAGGGGACUCAGCGCGGCUUAACAAUAAGACGCAUAUAUAAAAAACCAUACAGUGCAAUAUAAAUCAUCAUUAACUUAAAUCAGUAUUCAUAAAACACAUUAUAAAAUACAGAUAGGUGUGUUCAGUUCAAAUCCAUUCAAGGUAUACGUGGACCCCCUUUUAAUGCCAACCUUUCCACGUGGAAAUCUCCAUUUGUAAGGCAAACCCUCUUUAAAGGAGGUUUGCAAUUUUAAAACCAGGCAGCUGAGGGACCCGCUGCGUUUAAAGCCAAACCUAGCAGGUGGGAACCCCUUUGGUUAACGCAAGGUGAGGGACCCUCUAUUUUUAAUAGGAUGCCUGGGAGAAUCUUAACCUAAAUGCAGGCCUAUGGGGCUACAGCCUAUUCUGCAUAGCCAGGCAUGGGGGGACCCCAUAUGAUGAAUUUGAAGCCUGGUAAAAGGAGAUUUUUGUAUUUAUUAACUUAUUACAUUUAUAUCCCGCCCUCUCUCCCCUUAAAAGGGGACUCAGAGCGGCUUACGAGUUAUAUUUACAUAUUUAUUUAUUUAUUACAAUAUUUAUAUCCCGCUGUCUUUCCCCUUAAAGGGGACUCAGAGCAGCUUACAAGUUAUAUUUACAUAUUUAUUUAUUUAUUACAAUAUUUAUAUCCCGCCCUCUCUCCCCUUAAAGGGGACUCAGGGCAGCUUAACAAUAAAACGCAUAUAUAAAAACCAUACAGUGCAAUAUAAAUCAUCAUUAACUUACAUCAGUAUUCAUAAAACACAUCAUAAAAUACAGAUAGGUGUAUUACAUACACUGUAUCAUUAGCAUCGCACAAUAUUAGCAUUAUAUAUUACUACAUUGCAUUAUACCACUAUACAGAAACAUUAUUAGCACUAUUACAUUUAAUAUAUAAUAUGUAAUUCAUAUUAUUAUAUUGUAUCAUUGUUAGUAUUGCAUUAUUUAUUUAUUUGCUAGAUGUAUAUGCUGCCCUUCUCAACCCCAAGGUGAACGGCCUACAAAUUAAAUUUACAUACAAUAUUAUAUUAUUACCAUAGUACAAUACUGGCAGUAAAUUACUAUAUUGUACUAUAUGAAUAUAUGGUAAUAUUAUUAGUAUUACAUGCAAAAUGUAAUACAUAAUUAAUAUUAUAUUUAAUUAUUAGUAUAUCGUUUUACAAUAUAAUAUGAACAUUAUAUGUAUAUGCAAUAUGUUAUAAUUAUAUAUUAAAAUUUAUAUAUAUAUACAUAUAUAUGUAUGUAUGUAUAUAUGUAUGUGUAUAUAUAUAUAUAUAUAUACACACACACACACACACACAUAUAUUUAUAUACACACAGUAGAGUCAUCCAACAUAAAUGGGCCAGCGAAUAUUUAUUUAUUUAUUUACAGCAUUUUACCGGGCUGGCCUCGAACUCAUGACCUCCUGGUCAGAGUGAUUUGUUGAUAUUCAUUAUUCAUUUAUAGCAUUUAUAUUCCGCCCUUCCUUCUCACCCCGAAGGGGACUCAGGGCGGAUCACAUGACACAUAUAGGCAAACAUUCAAUGCCUUUUAACAUAGAACAAAGACAAACAGGCUCCGAGCGGGCCUCGAACCGUGACCUCCUGGUCAGAGUGAUUCAUUGCAGUUAAUUGCAGCUGGCUUGCUUUCCAGCCUGCGCUGUUGGAUAAUAAGGAGGCAUUAUGGAAAAGCCUAUUAAACAUCAAAUUAAUUGAUGAUUUUACAAAUUGAGCACCAAAACAUCAUUUGACAGAAAAAGUAGUUCAAUAUGCAGUAAUGCUAUGUAGUAAUUACUGUAUUUACGGAUUUAGCACCAAAAUAUCACGACGCAUUGAAAACAUGGACUACAAAAAUGCGUUGAAUAAUCCAGAAUGUUGGAUAAGAGAGUGUUGGAUGAGACUACUGUAUAUACAAUAUAAAUUAGAAUAGCAUGUUAUUGGGGGAGGAGCAUCUUGGUUAUUAGAUGUUUUUAUUAGUUAUUGAUACUAGUAUAGAUAUGACAUUGAGUAUAUAUUAUCCUAGCACAAUGUUAAUAUUAGUUAUUCAUAUUAGUCUCAAUAUGACAUUAAUAGAGUACAUUAUUAUCCUAGCACAAUGUUAUUAGAUGUUAAUAUUAGUUAUUGAUAUUAGUCUCCAUAUGACAUUAAUAGAGUAUAUUAUUAUUCUAGCACAAUGUUAUUACAUAGGACCAUGUUGUUGCUAGGGGGAGGGCCCCCCCACUGAUUGUAUUAUUAGUAUUAUGUUGUUGCUAGGGAGAGGGCCCCCCAACUGAGAUCCCCUGUCAUUAAUGUGUCAGACCAGGCAUUUCACUCCUACCUUUGCAUCAGAAAGCAGGCUCCCUGUGCGCUAGGCCUUCCUUUGAGGAACACAUUCACAGCUCCGCUUGAGUGUGGCAUUGAGGCCCCACUCAGGGAUGGGCGGGUCCUCCCUUUGCCCUGGGCAGAUCGUGGGGGGUGGGCGGAUCUCCAUAGACGGGCAGGGGGUCGCGGCUGGCGGGACAGCGGGAUAUAAAAAUAUAAAUAUAUAAAUAAAAACCCUUGCAUCCAAGGAAACAACUCUGGGGACCCGAGCGGCUGCUCCCAGCUCACGUCACGGGCAUUUUAAACAUCUCGUAGCAGCUCAGAUUAAUACCUGAACUAACCUUAACCUGCUAACCCUACUAACCCAUUUCUAACUAGAGCAGGAAUUUUAAAUAGGGCUUAUUUUGCCUGUUGGCAAGAACCAAGCUGGGAGGGGGCCUCCGGGCCUCGGGUGGGAAGAACCCUAACCCUGUCCCUGCCCUGCGCUGGGAGCGCCCCCCCCUCGGGACCCCAGUGUUUGGUCCCCGCUCUCCCCCAAUCCGACGGCCUAGAAAGCCCCUCCGCCAUCCGCCCAGGGCCAACGGACAGCCCUCCCUCCCCGGCAGCUGCGUUCCUCAUGCAACAGGGAGCCUGGUUCUGGAUGCAAACGUGGGACCCCCUUAGGACCCCCUUUUCUCUGUGCAGGGACCCCCGCUCCCCAUAAAUAAAUGCCUGGUGGAAGGGGAUCCUAGUAGAAAAAGCCACAGUUCCCAAGAGCCCCCAAAAGCGAGAUGCUCCCUUGGUUCAGCCCUUCUGACCCUUGUUUUCUCCCUUGUUCUAUGUCUCCGGAAUCGCCGAGGGAGGGAGGGGCUCCUCCUGGACAAGAGCCAAGGACGGACAGAUGGACGGACGGACGGAAGGAGAUCCCAGAGAGCAGGACGCCUUGCCGUUCUGGCUGCUGAGCUCGACCCCUUUCCAACAAUGAAUAAAACUCUUCCCAAAAAAAGGUGUUUUCUGGUUAUUAUUCAAACGUUUAAUUUUUGACAGCCUUAAACAUCUUGAUUACAAUACAGUUUGUGCUGCUGCCUUUUAUAAACCUUGUUUUCUACAAAUAAAGUCAAGAGAAACACUAUAAGUUUUGCACUGUGCUCAAACUCAUUGUUCUGAUAUUCUGUUAUAUGGUUUUAUUAUUUAUAUCGUUUUUAAUGUAUGACUAUUACAUGUGACAUGGGAGCGGGGUAUAAAAAUAAAGUAUUAUUAUUAAUAAACACCACAAUUUUCUUGCACCCCAAGUACAUCUGGCCAUUGCCAAAGAGUAUUUAACUCUGCCUACAUGGCACUAAAGUGUAUUUAUAUGUUGAUUGUUUCUAUUGAUUUUAUGUAAUGUUUGCUUUAUUUGCAUUGAAUUUUUGUCUGGAUGUAUCUUGUAUGCCGCUCAUCUCCAUAAAUGAGCGGGAUAGAAAUGAGGUUAAUAAUUUUAGGAAUGUUUUAAUGUAACUUGAAUUUUAAAUUGAGUUGAAAUGUGAUUGUAAUUGUUUAUAAGUGUUAUCUAUUUGUAAGCCACCCUGAGUCUCCUCUUAUUGAGUGAAAAGGUCUGGGAAGAAAUACUGUCAUAAAUAAAUAAAAUAUUCUGUGUCCAGGUUGCUUCAUGGGUUGACUUCUCUGGCAGGAUUAAUCUGCAGGGCCAUUCCUGUGGGAAAGUUUACACAGGGACUAACAAGCAUGGAGCAGGGAAGGCACUGCAGACACUCCUGCGCAUGCGCGGCCUGCUCCCUAGUAGAAACUUGGCCCCGCCCACUACAGGCACCCCUUUCCCUUCUGCGGCUGCGCGGCCUGUUCCAUAUUUGGGGGAACUUGGCCCCCGCCCACUGCAGGCAUUCCCUUCACUUCUGCGUCUGCGCGGCUUCCGUCACAGGGCGGCAAGAUGGUUUCCCGGCCCGCAGUGGCCCAUGUACAUGCUGGACUACGGCGGCCUCAAUGUUCCGCUUCCGGGAGCCAUGAAUUAUUCGGACCUCAGUUUCUGAACCAGAACCUCCGAACAAAACAAAACAAAAGAAAUAAUGAACGGUGUGUAAUUUUCGUUUGUACAAAGUGUAUAUUAUUCCAAUAUGUAUUGAUGCCUUUCAGUGUUUCCAAUGAUUUUUACACUAUAUUCCUGCCGCCAGGGCCUUUUUAAAUAAAAAAAGAAUAAGAAGGGUUGCCUUGCUCUGAAAAAUCAAA